RNAcentral lists this long non-coding RNA (2611 nucleotides) under Equus caballus (horse). RNAcentral describes it as "lncRNA (ENSECAG00000055608.1)". Lineage: Eukaryota; Metazoa; Chordata; Mammalia; Perissodactyla; Equidae. The record is from RNAcentral.
AUUUAAAUUCAGCUUAUGUAGAAAGCAGGUUGAGUUUGUUUCAUGUCGUUCUCACUGUUGACUGAGUUUGAAGAGCAUUGCACUGACUCUUGGCUUCGCAUCAUGCACAGUGUGCUCUUGCUCUUGUGUAUCGACAGAUGUGAAGAGCAAGGGGGACUUGGGCAGAUAUUUUGGACAGCUAGAUAAAGUCAGACAUUCCUUGGAAACUGAUACAAUCUUUGUUUCAGAAGAGAUCACAAAGCCCCAAAGACGUUUAUCAGUUCCACAGUGAGGCAUUGUGGGGGGCCUCAAGCCAAGCAAUGGCAUCUGCGGCCCCUGAUGGGAUUGAUACACACAGGCCAUCUGAAACGGAAACCACUUUCCCAAGAUAGCUGGACUGCCUUCAUUUGGAGAUCUUACCACUUUGUAGAAUUUGAAGAAAACUUGCAUGGAAUCACGGAAUAAAGAUGUCAGCCAAGAAAUGUCCUGGAAGACAUCUGCCCUAUAUAUGUGUGCAACAAUCUGCUGUUUGAAAAACAGCAAUCAUAUUCAGUGUAGCUUGUAAUCUACACUUUGCUUGAGAAAGAUAAUGAUUGUGAAUGGAAAUACAUCUGGGUCUCUUUAAAAUAUUGAGCACCGUGCUCAUUUAUAAAUGUGUAAACAUUGAUUGCAAUCAGCUACGAUUGGAUGGCAUCUCUUCUCACCUCCAGAAUGGGCUGGAGCUGGUUGGAGAUUCUGAGGGCAUGCCAUCAUAGAUGAAAGUUCUAAGGGGAAAAACAGAUUCCAACGGGAAAGGCACAGCCAUACAGGGGAGCAUCAGGGGUGAUUUUCUUUACCAGAGAGCUGCUCCUGGCUAUUUCAAUAAGAAGAGACUGGUGGCUUGGACACUAUGGAAAAAGCUGGGCAAACAUGAAGAAGUAGAUACGCCUGGUUCCACAGAGAACAGAGUACGAACGGAGAUUGUCCAAUAGGACCUUGACAUGGAAAAACCCUGAGUGAUCCAGAAGAGAAGAGAGGAAACAUUCAGGACAAGCAGCACAGUCAGAGAGGUUCAAGUUCACAUGAGUGACAGCAGCAAAAUGUCUUGGACAUCCAGGAAGCAAUAUAAGGACACCAGGGCCUCCAAGGAGUUCAAAGUGCAUGCAGGAGUCAGGAAUUACAAAGAUAUAAGCUGAAAUAAACAAAGGGAAAAACUAGAAAAGAGGAUAAAUAAAUUCCCAAAGCAGUUCUUUGAAAAUAUUUACAAGAUAGAAGAAGAAGAAGAAAAAACUACGAGACGAUUCCCUAUGGCAACAAAAUUGGAAACCUAAAGAAAAUGUAUAGACUGGUUCUGCUUACAGUGUGGACAAGGGAGUUCUUACCAUGCCAAUCAUAAACUAAAGACUAAAUAAGAACACAGCUACUUGAAGGCAUUGGAAAUGUAUAUUUUGGAGGCAGAUUUUGGAUUGACACUUAGAAGAAGGAAAGAGCAUGGGAUGAGUUCUCUCCUCUUAUUUUCUGAGGGCAGGUUUCAGUCUAUAAGAUGCAGGGGGGCAAAAACUCUGAAAGAAACCAUCAAUCUUAUUGGCUUGUUGAACCAGAGGAUUCAAGGAAACCACAGCCACAAGAAAGUGAAGAGAUUCCUAGAGAGAGCCAGAAAGGGAGAAGCCCAAAUUCUAGGUGUAAAACUGCUCAAAUCUUUGGUGGAACCUCAACUAUUACACAGAGCAGACUGAGAGGCCCAUCUAAGGCUAAAAGAAUGGAACUGAUAUUUGAGGUGCCACCCAAGACAUAGAGUUUGCAGUUUGAAUCCAACCAUAUUAAAUUGCUGCUUAAACAAAGAAGUUAAAUGCAGAAUGUAAACAACUUAACACUACAAUGAUCAAGAUACAAACAAAGUUACAAAAAUGUGACCCACUUUUUGAGAGAAAGGAAUUCUAAGGUAGCUCAGAUGUUGGAAUUAGCAGACAAACAUUUAAAGCAGCUGUUAUAAAUAUGUUCACUGAUAUGAAGGAAAAUAUGUUCAAAAUUAAUGAAAAGAUAGGACAUCUCAGAAGAGAAAUAGAAGCCACAAAAAAGAAUCAAAAAUUUUAAAAUUUGCUGAAUGAGAUUCAGAGCAGAAUGGAGAUGACAGAGGAAAACCAGUGAAGUUAAAGAUAGAUGGGUAGAUAUGAUCCAAUCUGAAGUUUGAAGAGAAACAAUAUUGAGAAGAAAAUGAGCAGAGUCCCAGGAAUCUAUGGGACAAGAGGUUUAACAUAUGCGUAAUUGGAGUCUUAGAAAGAGGUAGGGAGAGAAUGGGGCUGAAAAAACUAUUUUAAGAAACAAUGACUAAAGAUUUCCCAAAUUUAACAAAAGUAAAAAAUUUCCAAAUUCAAAAAACUCAGCUAAGAGAAACUAUGGCACUAAGAAGACAAGAAGAGAACAUCUUUAAAGUGUUGAAAGACAAAACCAAAAACCUGCCCAUCCAGAAAUCUAUAUCCAGUGAAAAUAUCCUUUGAGAACGUAAGGCAAAAUAAUGUUUUUUCAGGCCAAAGAAAACUAAGGGAAUUUGUCAUCAGCACAUCUGCACUAUAAGAAUGAAUGAAAGGAAGUUCAUUAGACUGAAGGGAAAUGAUCCAAGAGGCAAAUUUGGAUCUCAAGAAAUGAAUGAGGG